RNAcentral lists this ribosomal RNA (2724 nucleotides) under Synechococcus sp. AH-601-L23. RNAcentral's name for it is "partial 23S ribosomal RNA". It matches the Rfam family "Bacterial large subunit ribosomal RNA". Lineage: Bacteria; Bacillati; Cyanobacteriota; Cyanophyceae; Synechococcales; Synechococcaceae. The record is from RNAcentral.
CUGAAUACAUAGGCUGGCGCGAGCCAACCCAGCGAACUGAAACAUCUUAGUAGCUGGAGGAAAGGAAAGUAAAAACGACUCCCUAAGUAGCGGCGAGCGAACGGGGAAGAGCCUAAACCGAUGGUUUCGACCAUCGGGGUUGUGGGACAGCAACGUGUAUCAGGAAUGUUAGGAGAAGUGUUUGAAUGGCACGCCACAGAGGGUGAAAGCCCCGUAUCUGAAAACUGAACUGAGCUAGCUGUAUCCCGAGUAGCACGGAGCACGUGAAAUUCCGUGUGAAUCCGCGAGGACCACCUCGUAAGGCUAAGUACUACUGUGUGACCGAUAGCGAAACAGUACCGCGAGGGAAAGGUGAAAAGAACCCCGGGAGGGGAGUGAAAUAGAACAUGAAACCGUGAGCCUACAAGCAAUGGGAGCCCUACUAAUAGGGUGACCGUGUGCCUGUUGAAGAAUGAGCCGGCGACUUAUAGGCACUGGCGGGUUAAACCGGAAAUGGUGGAGCCAUAGCGAAAGCGAGUCUGAAUAGGGCGUUUGUCAGUGUUUAUAGACCCGAACCCGGGUGAUCUAACCAUGGCCAGGAUGAAGCUUGGGUGAUACCAAGUGGAGGUCCGAACCGACUGGCGUUGAAAAGCCAGCGGAUGAGCUGUGGUUAGGGGUGAAAUGCCAAUCGAACCCGGAGCUAGCUGGUUCUCCCCGAAAUACGUUGAGGCGUAGCGUCUCGUGCUCCAGCAGGGGGGUAAAGCCACCAUUUCGGUGCGGGCUGCGAGAGCGGUACCAAAUCGAGAUGAACUCUGAAUACCCUGUGUGUAGCGAGGCAGUCAGACUGUGGGGGAUAAGCUCCAUGGUCGAGAGGGAAACAGCCCAGACCGCCAGCUAAGGUCCCCAAAUCAACACUAAGUGAUAAAGGAGGUGGGGUUGCAUAGACAACCAGGAGGUUUGCUUAGAAGCAGCCAUCCUCAAAGGAGUGCGUAAUAGCUCACUGGUCGAGCGAUCCUGCACCGAAAAUGAACGGGGCUAAGUGUUGUACCGAAGCUGCGGAUUUAUGGUAGGGGAGCGUUCUAUGUGGGGCGAAGCAUUAGCGUGAGCGGAUGUGGACUGCAUAGAAGUGAGAAUGUCGGCUUGAGUAGCGAAAACAUGGGUGAGAAUCCCAUGCACCGAAACCCUAAGGGUUCCUCCGGCAGGCUCGUCCGCGGAGGGUUAGUCUGGACCUAAGGCGAGGCCGAAAGGCGUAGUCGAUGGAUAACAGGUCAACAUUCCUGUACCGGUCAUGUUUUGGGAAGAGGGACGGAGAAGGCUAGCCAAGCCAGAUGUUGGUUACUGGUUCAAGCGUUCGAGGCGUUGAGGAGCGGUGAAAACGUUCCGAGCUGAGGCGUGAGUACGAGCUGCUACGGCAGCGAAGUUGGUGACGUCAUGCUUCCAAGAAAAGCUCUAUACCCGUUAAGACAUGAUUGCCAGUACCCGAAACCGACACAGGUGGGGUGGUAGAGAAUACCGAGGUGCGCGAGGUAACUCUCUCUAAGGAACUCGGCAAAAUGGCCCCGUAACUUCGGGAGAAGGGGUGCCACAGCAAUGUGGUCGCAGUGAAGAGGCCCUGGCGACUGUUUACCAAAAACACAGGUCUCCGCUAAGUCGCAAGACGAUGUAUGGGGGCUGACGCCUGCCCAGUGCCGGAAGGUUAAGGAAGCCGGUCAGCGUAAGCGAAGCUGGCGACUGAAGCCCCGGUGAACGGCGGCCGUAACUAUAACGGUCCUAAGGUAGCGAAAUUCCUUGUCGGGUAAGUUCCGACCCGCACGAAAGGCGUAACGAUCAGGGCGCUGUCUCGGAGAGAGGCUCGGCGAAAUAGAAUUGUCUGUGAAGAUGCGGACUACGUACACCUGGACAGAAAGACCCUAUGAAGCUUUACUGUAGCUUGGUAUUGUGUCCGGGCUCUGAAUGCGCAGGAUAGGUGGGAGAUGUUGAUCUCGUGCUCGUGGGUACGAGGGAGUCAAUGGUGAGAUACCACUCUUUCAGAGCUAGGAUUCUAACGUUCACCCGUUAUCCGGGGAGCGGACAGUAUCAGGUGGGCAGUUUGACUGGGGCGGUCGCCUCCUAAAAGGUAACGGAGGCGCGCAAAGGUUUCCUCAGGCUGGUUGGAAAUCAGCUGACGAGUGCAAAAGCAGAAGGAAGCUUGACUGUGAGACCUACAAGUCGAACAGGGACGAAAGUCGGCUUUAGUGAUCCGACGGUUCUGAGUGGAAGGGCCGUCGCUCAACGGAUAAAAGUUACUCUAGGGAUAACAGGCUGAUCUCCCCCAAGAGUUCACAUCGACGGGGAGGUUUGGCACCUCGAUGUCGGCUCAUCGCAACCUGGGGCUGAAGUCGGUCCCAAGGGUUGGGCUGUUCGCCCAUUAAAGCGGUACGCGAGCUGGGUUCAGAACGUCGUGAGACAGUUCGGUCCAUAUCCGGUGUACGCGUAGGAACAUUGAGAGGAUUUCUCCCUAGUACGAGAGGACCGGGAGGAACGCACCUCUGGUGUACCAGUUAUCGUGCCAACGGUAAACGCUGGGUAGCCAUGUGCGGAGUGGAUAACCGCUGAAAGCAUCUAAGUGGGAAGCCCACCUCAAGAUGAGUGUUCCCAUGGGGUAACCCAGUAAGGUCACGGGAAGAACACCCGUUGAUAGGCUCUACGUGGAAGUCCAGUAAUGGAUGCAGCGGAGGAGUACUAAUAGACCGAGGGCUUGACCAA